AGAGAAACCACAGAGCUGCGGCUAGAGACAGACAUGCCGAAAUUUUACUGAUGAAGAAGCUGAAGAAUAGAAAGGCUAAGCUAUGGUGUUCCUGUGGGUCAAGGGGUCCCCACUCUAAGCAUGAGAUAUGUAAACCAAAGAUCCAAUGCCAAACCCAUUCUGCUGGAAAAGAUUGAAGGAUCUCGUUGAAGGAUCUUGUCAUUAUAGGACUGAUAACUCACUCCUGUUUGCAGCAUCAGGCAGUGACUAAAGACAUGGCCUGCUUUCCUUAUGAGAAACAGAGUCCUGGCGACUGAGCAACACAUUCCAUGUCUAUUUCCUCUGGCAUUAUGAGCUAAUUGUGAACUAAGUGACCAAAUCAUCCUAAUAAAAGUGACUUCUAAACGGCAAAUCAUAAA
Molecule: long non-coding RNA, 398 nt
Organism: Myodes glareolus (Bank vole)
Lineage: Eukaryota; Metazoa; Chordata; Mammalia; Rodentia; Cricetidae
Source: RefSeq, a predicted model, not a curated record